CUUUACCAACUUCCAUAGGGUUAAAUAAUCCAUUACUUUAAUUGGUUAUCGCUUGGUGGUGAUACGUUAUGGCAUCCUCUGAUGAAGAGGGUGAGAUUUUGCCACAGUAUGUGUCGAAUUAUCAUUUUGUUGAUGACAGUGGUGCACCGGUCUCGUUUUCGGUUUUGCCAGUCCGGUGGGAUGUGAAUGAUGUAUCGACCAACUUGGAAGGAACGCAUGUUGCUUUGCGUGGGACUUGCAGUAAUGGAAUUCAGAAAAUUUACCUGCCGGUUAUGGGUUGGAAGUUUGAACUUUCUUAUGUGCAGCCAGAAAUAUCUGUUUUCUGUAAGGCCAAGAAAUGGGUUAUGCUUCAAAAGCCAAGAAAGGUUUUCGAGCAAGUAGUCAGGAAAAUCUUGAUCACUGUUCACUGGCUUCAUUUCAUUAAGAAGAAUCCGAAUGCAUCUGAGAAAUCCGUGUGGAAACACUUGUUGAAGACCUUCAGCACAUAUGAGGAUCCACCAUCUGAGAAUGAUCUAUUGGAUCACAAGGGAUUAAUUAUGGAAGCAGCAAGAAGGGAUAAAGAUUUAAAAGCAUCCAGGGUAUGAAUUUUAUUUCGGGCAUAUCUCGUGUUUAAUCUUAAGAUUGUGAUGGGUUUUCUUAUUAACAUUCUUUGUGCUUCAAUUUACAAGAUUAUAUUAAAAAAAAAAAACCUAUGCGUUGAAUUAAUCUGAAGUUAACUCUUAUUUAAAAUAUGUUGUGGAUUUUAUGUUCUCACAAAGCAAUGUGGAUACACCUAUUGUUUUUGUGGACCCAGCCUGAUGUCUGAUGUUUGGUUUUUCAAAGAUUAAAUGCAUUAUCAGUUUAAGGCAGAAUGAUCAUGCUUGUCUGAAAAAAGAAGCCAUAAGGUUUGAUGCAAACUCUAGAAGCCAUCUGCUAACCUUUUUAUUACCAUUAAGUAACAUAAGGGAGAGUAUUUAAAGACUGAAAUUCUGGUAAACAUCCAUUAUGUUUGAGCAUUUGAGUUUUCAGUUAAGUCACAAAGAACCAGAAUAUGUGAAAAUAGUAUAUUGACCAAAGUAGAGAAGGUACGACUAACUUUUUCUUGAUCUGCAGCAACAUAGAUUCGGAGAUUGAUUGACUGUUCUUAUUACGUUAUUAUGUUGCUACUCCCAAUACAAUCUUCACUUUGUUGGCUUUGGUAUAUUAUUUUUAGCUUGGAGUUGUUGCCUUGUUAGAUUAAGAUUGUUAAUUUGUUAUUUCCUGUGAGCAUAUGUGUGUGUUAACUGAUAUGUGAAGGGUAUUUGAUGGUUAAUCUUUUGAGCAGUCUUUCUGUACCUUUAUUGGGAAAAGUGAGGGUGGUGAAACUUUUUAUGAGGUUAGUGUUCACAGCCAACUCUUGCUUGAAUAUUAUCUCUGUCUGACUGUUCCAUUCCCUCCCUUCUAAUUUUCCAUUGUAUAAUUCUUUUCUUUAAUUUUUUUUUCAAGAUUUUAAAGAAAAUUUCCUUGCUUGAUUAACAGGGUGUUCAAACAAUUAUUGAUGAUGAUGGCAGUGAAAAGGAUUUUUUUGAUACAGCUUGUGCAAUUUGUGACAAUGGUGGUGACAUUUUGUGGUAUGCUAAUUCAUUAUUUCAAUUUUUUUUUUCACUAGUUUUACCAACUUUAUACAACUCCAUUUUGCAUCAAUUUUGUAUGUAAUAUGUAUGCAUUUCUAACUACUUGAUACUUCUUUUCUCUGAAAUUUGCAUUUAGGUGUGGAAUGUGAAGUGGAACAUGGUGAAAUUACUCUGAAAUCUUGUGAUAAAUUGAGAUGGUUUCUGGCUUCAGUUAAUUAUUCUUUGGCACUUCCUAUAUAGGCAUUGAUACAUUUUUGUUUUGAAUCAUGGGCUUGGUUGGAGCAUACAACCAGCAUCAUUACAUUUGUAAUUUUAGAAAGUGGCAUUUAAAUAACAAAUAUAACAUUGCACCUGGAUUUUUUUUAAGAAUAUACCAUGUGAUAUAUAUGAUAAAUUGUAUGAUGCUUUAGUAUCCAAGUAAAAGAUGACAAUAUACAAUUUCUGAGAAAGUGGCCAGGUUACAGCCUGUUCUUAUUUGGCCCUAAAAUUGUGAUAUGCUGUGCAGUGUACUCAAAUAAUAGUGGGCAUGCUUAGAAUAUUAAUUGUUGACAGUAUAAAAAUUUUUUUUCCAUUAGUGGGUUUUUUUGUACUGACCUGAUAUUUUAGCCCAAAGUUUUCUGUAAAAGCAUGCAAGGGGAGGGGCGUGUGGGAAAGGACCACACUUGCUUCUAACAAGGUUGAAGAUUUGGUGCAGUGCACAAUCAAGAAAUAUGAGCACCUUCAAACGUAACAAAGUUGAAUUCAUUCUCCCAUUUUCGGUGCCCACCUGAAAUUGUGUAAAAUAUGAUAAAACUUCAGAAUUACUUAAGACUCUUAUAAUUUAUUUCAAAUUUUUGGGAUGCAGGAAACGAAUGAAGUUCAAGACAUGAAAGUUGUAACGGGAGGUGCCUGAGAUCAUUUCACCCAACUGUUGCUGACGGGGUGGAAUCUCAAUGUGCAUCCCUUGGCUAUAGAAAUAAGGCUGAAUAUGAAGCAAUUCAAAUUUUUAUGUGUGAAAAUUGUAUUUAUCAGCAGCAUCAAUGCUUUGCUUGUGGCAGAUUGGGCUUUUCUGAUAGAUCUUCGAGUCAAGAGGUCUUCCCUUGUGCUUCUGCUACUUGUGGCCAUUUCUAUCACCCACAGUGUGUUGCAAGACUGCUUCAUACUGGCAAUGAAAUUCAAGCAGAAGAACUUAGAGCCAAAAUCAGUACAGGGGAGUCUUUUGUUUGUCCUGCUCAUAAAUGUUUUAUUUGUAAGGAAUGUGAAGAUGCUGAUGUUGAUGCAUUGCAGUUUGCAAUGUGUAGACGUUGUCCUAAAGCAUAUCACAGGAAAUGUUUGCCUAGGGGCAUAGUUCAUGCACAUGAAAAUAAUUUGGCCAGGGCUUGGGAGGGUCUUUUGCCAAAUCGAAGGAUUCUGAUAUACUGCAUGGAGCAUAAGAUUGAUAGGCAACUAAAGACUCCUGCUAGAGACCAUAUAAUAUUUCCUAAAGUGGAAAGGAGGCACACAUUACAGUUGAUGCCAAGACAAAGAAAACUUGUGAUAUCAAAGAGAACUGAGGUUUCUGAUGGUUUUGCUGUAGAUAGAACUGCUGUAAAGAAGCCAAAGCUGAUCAAAAAGCUCCACGAUUGUGUUGAAAUUGGCAAUUCUUCCGAAACAGAGAAAAGAUACCCCGCACAUGAUUUUGAACCUUUGAAAAAAUCAAAUAUAAUUCAUCCAGAUAAACAAGCGUUGAAGAAGAAUAUUUGUUCUGUCUCCGCCAGUUCAUCUACAGUAGACACAAGAAACCUGCUUUCUGGCAAUAACUCAUUGGUUAACUCAGGAUUUUAUCCAUCGAAGUUUAAACAGCAGAAUAUUGUUAGCAGUAAAAUGAAGAAUUCUAUCCCAGAUAAGCCAGCCAUGAAAAAAAUAAGUAGUUCAUUGCCUUCAGUUGGUGCUGAAACCAAAAAACGAAUUCUGAUGCUAAUGGAAGAUGUCUCUUCCUCAUUUGAUGCUGAAGAAUUUAAGAAAAGGAAUGUCCCAAUUACACUUCUAUACUGUUCCAGAAAUGCACUGGAAAAGUCAUUUACACUAGGAUUGGUGGAGGCUUCUGUAAAGGCUGUGCGAACUGCAUUACAGAAUCUGGAAAAAGGAUGUAGUAUUGAGGAUGCAAAAACUGUUUGUCAACCUGAGAUUCUCAAACAGAUUUUCAGAUGGCAGAAAAAGCUUGGAAUCUACCUCACACCUUUUCUCCAUGGAGCACGCUAUACAUCUUUUGGUCGCCAUUUUACACAAGUAGGGAAGCUUAAGGAGAUUGUUGAUCGGCUCCAGUGGUAUGUUCAAGAUGGUGAUAUGGUAAGUUUAUAACUUCUUGGAUUUAAUGCAAGUCUCUAAUUUUAUUUGUUGGCAUAAUGUUAAUUUGUGUCAAUGAGCAUUCUAAUGAAAUGCCCUGAUGCAAAUUCAUUUAUUCUAUUGAAAUGCCCUAAUGCAAAUUCAAAUCUUCCAUGUUUUCUUGACAUUGCCUAACAUCUUUCUCAUUUUAUUGUUUCGAUAAUUGUUUUUUGUUCUCUAAAUGUUUGAAUUGGCUGUAGUUGCUAUUGUUAAUCUGAUUAUUGGCUUCUUCAUGCCUGGGUGCAACUUCCACUUAACAGAUAGUCGAUUUCUGCUGCGGUUCUAAUGAAUUCAGUUGUCUGCUGAAAGAAAAACUUGAACAAACUGGAAAAUCAUGCUUAUUCAGAAACUAUGAUAUUAUUCAAGCUAAGGUACUAAUGACCUCUCUUGUAAUGGUGGACUGGUGCAUUUUUAUAAAAAAUUCUCUUGGGAUACAUCUGGUCAGUGCAUUUGGCAAUCCCAGUUCCUGGUCAAUGCUGUGAUGUAGCUGGAGAUCAUUAGUACAGAUCUUUUUCUGAAAAUAUUAUCAUAAAGCAUAUAUAUAUGUAUAUAUCUUCUUUAGCGUUGCUUAUUUUAUUUCUCAUUUAACAUCCCUAUCCUCCUCUUUUCGAGGGAGUGAAGGACCAAAAUGUCUCUUGGCCUUUAUUUGGUAAAGCUUCAUUUGCAACAUUAUUAAGGAAAAUAUGGCUUUGCAAAGAGUUGAAUGUCAACAUAAAUUUGUGUACCAAACCUCAAGCUCUUCAAGUUAAAAAAUUGCAAAAUUUCUGGGUAAAUGUCCUUUUCAUCAAUAAAACAAAACAGGUUUCAUUUUAGGAAUUAUUUCUGUAUUGUCUUUUAUAUCAAUUUUCCCAAUAUUUUGGCCUUUUUUUGGUGAGCCUCCUUUUGCAAAGGCUGAAUGUUGACAAUUUAGAGAAGCAAAGUACUGCUGAUCCAGAGCGUUGCUGAGUCAAGUGAAUCAUUGAGCCCAAGCUCAACUCGAUUCAAAAAACUCAAGACUUUAAACUUUACUCAAUUUGACUCAACCAAGCUUUAUCUUUUCUUCCUCAAGCUUGACUCAAUUAGAUAUUUAAGAUACUCGAGUUUAACUCGACUCGUUUAUCAUUAUAAAUUUAAUUGAAAAUUAUUAUUAACUUCAAAUCAAAACUUGAACAAGCUUGAGUGAGCUCGAAUUAGCAUUUGUAAUAUAUAUUUAGGUUAAAAUGAUAAAUAUUAUAAUUUAUUUUUUAAAUAUAAUAUGUAAUAUAUAAUAUUUUAAAAUUAUAUAAAAGGAUAAACACAUGAUUAGACUCUUAAGCUACUCAUAGUCAAGUAUUAUACAGUAUUCAAAUUCAGCCUAAAUUGUUACCAAAUGACUAGAUAAAAAGUGAGUCAAUUUUUAGUAUUUUGCAAGUGGAGUUCAAGUGGUUCAUGGAUGGCUUGACUCAUUUGUUUGAUAAGAAUGUAUGUAAACAUCAAAAAGAAACUUGAUUCUUUUGUGUUUGAUGUGCUCGUAUUUAACUUUAAUUUGUAUGCAACCAUUGACCUAACUUCUUAGAUGUCCAUUUGGCAGAACGAUUUUUGUUUUGAGAAGAAAGAUUGGUUGAAGGUUGGUUUAGGCGAAUUACCUGAUGGUGCACGACUGAUAAUGGGGUUGAAUCCGCCCUUUGGUGUGAAAGCAUCUCUUUCUAAUAUUUUCAUCAAGAAGGCUCUUGAGUUUAAGCCAAAGCUCAUUGUUCUUAUCACUCCAAAAGAAACUGAAAGACUAGACAAAAACGGUGCAUAUGAUUUAAUUUGGGAGGAUGAUGCAUUACUUUCAGGCAAGUUGAUGUGAAUGACAAUCAAAUGGAGAGUUGGAACCUAAGCCCACCUCCACUGUAUCUAUGGAGCCGUACUGAUUGGACUGUCAGGCACAUGUCAGUAGCACAACAAUGUGGCCACAUAUGAAAG
This 5861-nucleotide unclassified non-coding RNA is filed under the name Hevea brasiliensis (rubber tree). The record is from RNAcentral. Lineage: Eukaryota; Viridiplantae; Streptophyta; Magnoliopsida; Malpighiales; Euphorbiaceae.